This 290-nucleotide long non-coding RNA is filed under the name Prunus persica (peach). Its description in RNAcentral is "long non-coding RNA (PPER_LNC003674)". The record is from RNAcentral. Lineage: Eukaryota; Viridiplantae; Streptophyta; Magnoliopsida; Rosales; Rosaceae.
CAAAACGACGUCGUUUUGAGGCCAGGUCAAUUAAAAAAAAUUUGACUGAGCCUUGACCAAACGACGUCGUUUGGCAAGGCUGGUUUUAAAAAAAAUUAGAACCCGCGCGCGCUGCGCUCAAGGCGCAGGCUCAGCACAGCAACUCCAGCUCGUCUUGUGGGACUUCCGUCGAGCACUUGGUGUGCGUACAAGGGGGCUUCCAGCAGCUGUCCAAGGGGGCUUUCAUGGAGUCCCUUCCCAAAUUUCCAGCCUUCCAAGGGGUCGUCCGACCCCUCUUGUCCCAACGUGCA